Molecule: transfer RNA, 71 nt
Filed under: Marmota marmota marmota (Alpine marmot)
Lineage: Eukaryota; Metazoa; Chordata; Mammalia; Rodentia; Sciuridae
Also listed under: 1 other name
Rfam family: tRNA
About the family: Transfer RNA (tRNA) molecules are approximately 80 nucleotides in length. Their secondary structure includes four short double-helical elements and three loops (D, anti-codon, and T loops).
Source: Rfam by way of RNAcentral
GGGAUUGUGGCUCAGUGGUAGAGCGCUUGCCUGAUAAAUAUGAGGCACUGAGUUCGAUUCUCAGCACCCCG